UCAUAUUAUAUGAAACCAUAACUGGAAGUAAUCAAUUCAUAUAAAACAUAUGUCCAUGGCUUCGAAUUCACCUCUAACUAAGAAGAAAUUCAGUCACACAUGUUCAUAAUAAUUGAAAAGCAAUCUAGAAUAAACAUUUAAACUAAUCAAUGGAAGAACUCUGAAAACCCCAAUGGAUGCAGCAGGUUCCGGCUCCAAGUUCUUCUUCUCUCUUUCUCCUUUCUUG
Molecule: long non-coding RNA, 226 nt
Filed under: Prunus persica (peach)
Lineage: Eukaryota; Viridiplantae; Streptophyta; Magnoliopsida; Rosales; Rosaceae
Description: long non-coding RNA (PPER_LNC003340)
Source: RNAcentral